GUUUUGGCCAUUGCAUUUGGUACUGAUCGAACGGCUGAGAGAGGGGUUUAAAAUGGCAUUUCGAGGAACAAGUUUUUUUGUUUUUUUAAAGAAAAGGAAAAAAACAAAAAGGUAUCCUCCAGUUUGAGGCCUGAGCCACGGCCCUUCAGAAAUAUGCGAAGCAUCCUUCUGCUUUUUCCUACUGUUUGUUGCGAAAAUUUCGUUCUAGCUUCAGCUUUCAAGUCUGGGAAUCUAAACUGUGGAGAGAACGUGAGUAAUGAAGAAUUUUGUGAAGAUGUGAAGCAGAUCUCUAUCUCUCUUCCCCCCCCCCCCCAAAAAAAAAAGGAGAAGAAAUUAUAUGUUUUAGCUUUGCACAUAUAUUCAACCAGUUUUGUGAUCGGUAAACAAAUUUUUAUUGAUCAAAAGAGAAGGAAAUGCCCAGUAUACGGGACAUAUAUUCAGCCAACUUUACUCAUCAAAAGAUUUAUUCAGUCAGGUUUGUUGGUGUUAAAAAGUCAUUUUGCAUCUCAUCAAUCCUUCGAUGAAAUAUUGAAAUAUAGAAAGGGAUAAUCUCUUUAACUAUCCCGGCACUAAAUCAUAUGUCACCAUUAAACUUUCUUAUUAACAGAAUUCUAGAUUUCCGAUUUUACGUUGCUUUCAGAUUAUGCCAUGUGGAAGUGAGUUGUAAUUUCUCUGUGCUGGGCUG
Molecule: long non-coding RNA, 685 nt
Organism: Carya illinoinensis
Lineage: Eukaryota; Viridiplantae; Streptophyta; Magnoliopsida; Fagales; Juglandaceae
Exons: 2
Source: RefSeq, a predicted model, not a curated record